GAUCCUGGCUCAGAAUCAACGCUGGCGGCGCGCUUAACACAUGCAAGUCGCACGAGAAAGGGGAGCAAUCCCUGAGUACAGUGGCGCACGGGUGAGUAACACGUGGGUAAUCCACCCUUUGGUGGGGAAUAACCCUGGGAAACCGGGGCUAAUACCGCAUAAGCCUGAGAAGGGAAAGCAGCAAUGCGCUGAAGGAGGAGCUCGCGGCCGAUUAGCUAGUUGGUGGGGUAACGGCUCACCAAGGCGACGAUCGGUAGCCGGCCUGAGAGGGCACACGGCCACACUGGCACUGAAACACGGGCCAGACUCCUACGGGAGGCAGCAGUGGGGAAUCUUGCACAAUGGGGGAAACCCUGAUGCAGCGACGCCGCGUGAGCGAUGAAGCCCUUCAGGGUGUAAAGCUCUUUCGACGGGAACGAUAAUGACGGUACCCGGAGAAGAAGCUGCGGCUAACUACGUGCCAGCAGCCGCGGUAAUACGUAGGCAGCAAGCGUUGUUCGGAAUUACUGGGCGUAAAGAGUGUGUAGGCGGUGCUCUAAGUUCGGUGUGAAAUCUCCCGGCUCAACUGGGAGGGUGCGCCGGAAACUGGAGUGCUGGAGCGCGGGAGAGGAAAGCGGAAUUCCUGGUGUAGCGGUGAAAUGCGUAGAUAUCAGGAGGAACACCGGCGGUGUAGACGGCUUUCUGGACCGU
This 690-nucleotide ribosomal RNA is filed under the name uncultured Acidobacteriota bacterium. RNAcentral describes it as "bacterial SSU rRNA". It matches the Rfam family "Bacterial small subunit ribosomal RNA", at positions 15 to 737 of the family's 1533-position model. The record is from RNAcentral. Lineage: Bacteria; Pseudomonadati; Acidobacteriota.